AGCAGCCGCGGUAAUUCCAGCUCCAAUAGCGUAUAUUAAAGUUGUUGCAGUUAAAAGCUCGUAGUUGAAUUUCGGGAUUAAUAUGUUGGUCGUGCCUUGGUACGUACUGGCAUUAUUGAUUCCUACCUUCUGAAGAACCUCGAUGUCAUUAAUUUGGUGUCUUGGGGAAUCAGGACCGUUACUUUGAAAAAUUAGAGUGUUUAAAGCAGGCUCGCGCUUGAAUACAUUAGCAUGGAAUAAUGAAAUAGGACGUUUGAUUCUAUUUUGUUGGUUUCUAGGAUCGACGUAAUGAUUAAUAGGGAUAGUUGGGGGCAUUAGUAUUCAAUUGUCAGAGGUGAAAUUCUUGGAUUUAUUGAAGACUGGCUACUGCGAAAGCAUUUGCCAAGGAUGUUUUCAUUAAUCAAGAACGAAAGUUAGGGAUCGAAGACGAUCAGAUACCGUCGUAGUCUUAACCAUAAACUAUGCCGACUAGGGAUCGGAUGAUGUUAAUUUUUUAAUGACUCAUUCGGCGUCCG
This 515-nucleotide unclassified non-coding RNA is filed under the name uncultured Glomus. RNAcentral describes it as "SSU rRNA". It matches the Rfam family "Eukaryotic small subunit ribosomal RNA", at positions 569 to 1089 of the family's 1831-position model. The record is from RNAcentral. Lineage: Eukaryota; Fungi; Glomeromycota; Glomeromycetes; Glomerales; Glomeraceae.